This 76-nucleotide transfer RNA is filed under the name Gammaproteobacteria bacterium. RNAcentral describes it as "tRNA-Lys". It matches the Rfam family "tRNA". Rfam says of the family: Transfer RNA (tRNA) molecules are approximately 80 nucleotides in length. Their secondary structure includes four short double-helical elements and three loops (D, anti-codon, and T loops). Further hydrogen bonds mediate the characteristic L-shaped molecular structure. tRNAs have two regions of fundamental functional importance: the anti-codon, which is responsible for specific mRNA codon recognition, and the 3' end, to which the tRNAs corresponding amino acid is attached (by aminoacyl-tRNA synthetases). tRNAs cope with the degeneracy of the genetic code in two manners: having more than one tRNA (with a specific anti-codon) for a particular amino acid; and 'wobble' base-pairing, i.e. permitting non-standard base-pairing at the 3rd anti-codon position. The record is from RNAcentral. Lineage: Bacteria; Pseudomonadati; Pseudomonadota; Gammaproteobacteria.
GGGUCGUUAGCUCAGUCGGUAGAGCAGUGGAUUUUUAAUCCAUUGGUCGGGCGUUCGAGUCGCCCACGGCCCACCA